GGUGCAAGCGUUAAUCGGAAUUACUGGGCGUAAAGGGUGCGUAGGUGGUUUGAUAAGUUGGGUGUGAAAGUCCUGGGCUUAACCUAGGGAUUGCGCUCAAUACUGUCAAGCUAGAGUACUGUAGAGGAAGGUGGAAUUUCCAGUGUAGCGGUGAAAUGCGUAGAUAUUGGAAGGAACAUCAGUGGCGAAGGCKAYUUUCUGGACAGAUACUGACACUGAGGCACGAAAGCGUGGGGAGCAAACAGGAUUAGAUACCCUGGUAGUCCACGCUGUAAACGAUGAUGACUGGCUGUUGGGGUCCUAGAGACCUUAGUAGCGAAGCUAACGCGUGAAGUCAUCCGCCUGGGGAGUACGGUCGCAAGAUUA
RNAcentral lists this ribosomal RNA (366 nucleotides) under uncultured bacterium. RNAcentral describes it as "bacterial SSU rRNA". It matches the Rfam family "Bacterial small subunit ribosomal RNA", at positions 531 to 896 of the family's 1533-position model. The record is from RNAcentral.